This is a non-coding RNA of Miniopterus natalensis, 357 nucleotides long. The record is from RefSeq and is a predicted model, not a curated record. Lineage: Eukaryota; Metazoa; Chordata; Mammalia; Chiroptera; Miniopteridae.
ACCAGCUCAUGUUUCAUCAGUGAUUUUACGUCUUUUCUUCCUACUGACCUUGUCUGGAUUGGCGGUGGGAUUACUGUAGUUUAGCAAAAUGAGUUGGAAGUGUUCGGUAAAACUCCGUGAAACCAUCUGGACUUGGGCUGUUUUUCAGGGAGAGCGUCUUUAUGACAGACAGGUCGUCUGGUGUCCCAGAAGUCUACUGACAUUUGCUCUGUGGGAUGGUAGGCUUCCUGUGUGUUAAGCACUGUAGCAAACCCUUGGAUGUCAGUGUUGUAUCCCAGCCUAAACGUACCCGGACUUACUGCCUUUGAAAAAAAAUUUGAGCAAUGUUCUUUCCUUCUGCAUAAACCUUCAUGCUGA